This 614-nucleotide ribosomal RNA is filed under the name uncultured bacterium. RNAcentral describes it as "bacterial SSU rRNA". It matches the Rfam family "Bacterial small subunit ribosomal RNA", at positions 47 to 662 of the family's 1533-position model. The record is from RNAcentral.
CCUAACACAUGCAAGUCGAACGGGAAGCGGUGCAUAUUGCUUCGGUGAUAAUGUGCCGUGGAGAGUGGCGAACGGGUGCGUAACACGUAGGUAACCUGCCCUGAAAGGGGGGAUAACCACGGGAAACUGUGGCUAAUACCGUAUAAUCUCGCCGUGGCGGUGGUUACGGUGAGGAAAGCUGAGGCGAUUUGGGAGGGGCCUGCGGUCGAUUAGCUGGUUGGUGGGGUAAAGGCCCACCAAGGCGAUGAUCGAUAGCUGUUCUGAGAGGAAGACCAGCCACACGGGAACUGAGACACGGUUCCGACUCCUACGGGGGGCAGCAGUGAGGAAUAUUGCGCAAUGGGGGGAACCCUGACGCAGCAACGCCGCGUGGAGGACGAAGGUUUUCGGAUUGUAAACUCCUUAACUGGGGGAAGAGAGAGGACGGUACCCCAGGACGAAGACACGGCUAACUAGGUGCCAGCAGCCGCGGUAAUACCUAGGUGUCGAGCGUUAUCCGGAAUUACUGGGCGUAAAGGGUGCGCAGGCGGUGUUACAAGUCCGGCGUGAAAGCUUCUGGCUUAACUGGGAGAGGACGUCGGAAACUGUAGUGCUAGAGUGAAUGAGAGGGGGGC